This 253-nucleotide ribosomal RNA is filed under the name uncultured bacterium. Its description in RNAcentral is "partial 16S ribosomal RNA". It matches the Rfam family "Bacterial small subunit ribosomal RNA", at positions 524 to 776 of the family's 1533-position model. The record is from RNAcentral.
UACGAGAGGUGCAAGCGUUAUUCGGAAUCAUUGGGCGUAAAGGGUGCGUAGGCGGUUUGUUAAGUUUGUUGUUAAAGACUCUGGCCUAACUGGAGAAAAGCAAUAAAAACUGGCAAACUAGAGAGUGAAAGAGAGAAGUGGAAUUCCCGGAGUAGCGGUAAAAUGCGUAGAUCUCGGGAGGAACACCAAUGGCGAAGGCGGCUUCUUGGUGCACAUCUGACGCUGAGGCACGAAAGCGUGGGGAGCAAACAGG